This is an RNA transcript of Brassica napus (rape), 2557 nucleotides long. It is a transcript of the gene named axoneme-associated protein mst101(2)-like, with no coding region annotated. The transcript is spliced from 8 exons. The record is from RefSeq and is a predicted model, not a curated record. NCBI's taxonomy places the organism in Eukaryota, Viridiplantae, Streptophyta, Magnoliopsida, Brassicales, Brassicaceae.
UGUUCGUUUACAAUUUAAACCGAAACAGAGCAAAUUAUAUUAUACACAUCGAGGGUUCUUUCCCCUUCCUCUCGAGUUCCGCCGCGCCGCACCCAAACGUUUGUCUUUCUCAGAGACACUCUUCGCCGUUUUGAAUUUGCCCUGAACCAACUCUGGAGAAACAAAGUUUUGUAUCUGCAGAUUAUUUUUGAAGGCAAUAUCUGAGUAAAAGCAAAGGAAUGAUGGAUACUGUUUCAUUGGUAACAAUUCCAGAAACUGGUGUUACACUACAUAUAGACCCAACUAAAGAAGGUUCACUACCAGAUGCAAAUAUGGAUGGUUCCAGUAGGAAAAAACCGAAAAGAAGAAAGAAGAAGAAGAAGGAAGAGGAAGCUUUGUGUGUAGAAGAGAAGACGUUGGACGUUGUAGAAAAAACCACCGAAGAAGAUCAACUGCAUCCACCCAAGAAUCCUUUGUCAAACAUUAGAAUACAAGAAGAUUCAAGCCACCAAGGUCAAGAUUCAUGUGAAAAGCCUGAAGAUUCGCAGUCAGGUGCUGUUGAUAUGUCUUCUUCUGAGAGAAAGAAGAAAAGGAGAAAGAAAAAGAAAAGCAAUGAUAUAAAUGCACUGAGGGAGAGUGGCGUUGAUACCAGUUCGCUGGUUACUAUGGAAUGCGAUGCUAGGCACAGUUCUGAAGCUCAAGGAUCGAAAUUGAAGACUACAAAGGAAAAAAAUGGUGAUGGUACUGUGGAUAAACAAAAGGGAGCAGAUGCUGAAGCUGAUGAUACUGUGUCCGAAACUCAGAAUCCUAAAGUCAAGAAAAAGAAGAGGAGAAAGACCAAAACAACGGAGGUACGCGAGGCAGUAGAAGAUACUCUAGCAACCUCCAUGGAAAGUGGGCCAGUGGAGUGUAUGGAAACUGCAAGUGUAUGUGAAGUAAAGAGCAAAACACGGAAGAGAAAGAAGAAGAAAACGUCAUUGUCAGAUCAGGAAACUGCAGAUAUGGAGGUCUGUGAUCCAUCAGAAAAUACUCUAGCAACCUCCAUGGAAAGUAGGCCAGUAGAGUGUAUGGGAACUGCAAGUGUAUGUGAAGUAAAGAGCAAAAAACGGAAGAGAAAGAAGAAGAAAACGUCAUUGUCAGAUCAGGAAACUGCAGAUAUGGAGGUCUGUGAUCCAUCAGAAAAUACUUUACCAGGCACCAUAGAGAGUGCAUCAGUAGAGUGUUUGUUGGAUCAUUCAAACAAAGAAGUUUUGGAAAAUUGUGAUAAGAAUGCUGGACAAGAGUUAGUGGCCGAGAAAGAGACAAAAGAUGAAAUUGGUGAACCUAAACAAAAGAGGAAGAAGAAAAAGAAGAAAGAGUCUUGUGAACUAAGUGAGGAAGUUAGUGAACCCAAACAAAAGAAGAAGAAGAAGAAGAAAAAGUCUUGUGAAGAUGACAAAACUGACAAUAUGGAUGUCGAGAAGAAGGAUGAUGUUUCUGUACCGAGAAGUGAGAGAGAACUAGAAUCUGACGGGAUAAAGCUUGGUACAUCUUUGUCAAGUUCUGUCUUAAUACCCGAUAAUGGGGUUGCCACACAAGAAACUGGAGAUGUACCUAGAUGCUCAUGCAAAGGUCAAAGUACCAGAAAGCUGGUUGUAUUUGAUUUGAACGGAAUCCUUGCAGACAUUGCUCGAGGGAACACAGGUAAAUGUGUUCCAGAUGGUAAAAUAUCUUUAAGAUCAGUUUUCAAGAGACCCUUUGUUGCUACUUUUCUUGACUUCUGCUUUGAGAAAUUUGAUGUUGGGAUAUGGUCUUCUAGACGCAUUGGAUUGAAUUAUAUGACGAACAUUGUCAUGGGACGUCAUGCGAAAAAUCUACUAUUUAGUUUCGAUCAAAGAAUAUGCAUUACAACAAAAUUCAAAACUCUGGGGAAUACCACUAAACCUCUGUUCCUUAAGAAUCUGAGAACAGUCUGGAAUCGUUUUGGGACAUGUCUCAGUUGUGGAAAAAGAAAGUAUGAUGAGACAAACACGUUGCUUGUUGACGAUUCACCUGACAAGGCCCUGUGUAAUCCUCCACACACUGGAAUCUUUCCUUUCCCUUACCAGUACACAGACCGUGAAGAUUCUGCAUUAGGGCCUGAUGGGGAGCUAAUGAAGUAUAUGGAAAGGUUAGUGGAUGCGGAGAACGUUCAGAAGUUUGUGGAGAAGAAUCCAAUGGGUCAAUCAGCAAUAACCGAGACGCAUGAAUCAUGGAGUUUCUACUCUAGGGUCAUCAAGGCACAUAAACGCUAAAUCAAUCCAGGGGAUUUUUGACCAACUCCUCAUUGUUUAUUUGCUUCUUGAGAGCUCACAACAAUAAGAAACAAAAGAAGCUAAUCAUGCAUAAUGACAGUGGAGCUAGAGAUACUGUAUGAUACAAAAAUAAAAUGUUGGGGGAGAUAUAACGUAGAAGAAAAGUCAAACUCUUCCUAGUUGGUGGUGACCUAACUACUAAAGCAUGCUUUUCCAUUGACAACUAUUUUCUUUGUUUAUUAGCAUGUGAUUCUGUUCUAAAACUUAAAUCUUAUAUUUAAUGUCUACCUAAACCCAUUUGAUUA